This 254-nucleotide ribosomal RNA is filed under the name uncultured bacterium. RNAcentral's name for it is "partial 16S ribosomal RNA". It matches the Rfam family "Bacterial small subunit ribosomal RNA", at positions 524 to 777 of the family's 1533-position model. The record is from RNAcentral.
UACGGGGGGGGCAAGCGUUGUUCGGAAUUACUGGGCGUAAAGGGCUCGUAGGCGGCCUGCUAAGUCGAACGUGAAAUCCCCGGGCUCAACCCGGGAACUGCGUCCGAGACUGGCGGGCUUGAAUCCGGGAGAGGGAUGCGGAAUUCCAGGUGUAGCGGUGAAAUGCGUAGAUAUCUGGAGGAACACCGGUGGCGAAGGCGGCAUCCUGGACCGGCAUUGACGCUGAGGCGCGAAAGCCAGGGGAGCAAAGCGGG